This 510-nucleotide ribosomal RNA is filed under the name uncultured bacterium. RNAcentral's name for it is "partial 16S ribosomal RNA". It matches the Rfam family "Bacterial small subunit ribosomal RNA", at positions 28 to 507 of the family's 1533-position model. The record is from RNAcentral.
GACGAACGCUGGCGGCGUGCUUAACACAUGCAAGUCGAACGAAGAGCGACGGAAGCUUGCUUCUAUCAAUCUUAGUGGCGAACGGGUGAGUAACGCGUAAUCAACCUGCCCUUCAGAGGGGGACAACAGUUCGAAACGACUGCUAAUACCGCAUACGAUCUAAUCUCGGCAUCGAGGAUGGAUGAAAGGUGGCCUCUACACGUAAGCUAUCACUGAAGGAGGGGAUUGCGUCUGAUUAGCUAGUUGGGGGGGUAACGGCCCACCAAGGCGAUGAUCAGUAGCCGGUCUGGGAGGAUGAACGGCCACAUUGGGACUGAGACACGGCCCAGACUCCUACGGGAGGCAGCAGUGGGGAAUCUUCCGCAAUGGACGAAAGUCUGACGGGGCAACGCCGCGUGAGUGAUGACGGCCUUCGGGUUGUAAAGCUCUGUUAAUCGGGACGAAAGGCCUUCUUGCGAAUAGUGAGAAGGAUUGACGGUACCGGAAUAGAAAGCCACGGCUAACUACGUG